AGAAUGUUAUCACGGGAGACACACGGCGGGUGCUAACGUCCGUCGUGAAGAGGGAAACAACCCAGACCGCCAGCUAAGGUCCCAAAGUCAUGGUUAAGUGGGAAACGAUGUGGGAAGGCCCAGACAGCCAGGAUGUUGGCUUAGAAGCAGCCAUCAUUUAAAGAAAGCGUAAUAGCUCACUGGUCGAGUCGGCCUGCGCGGAAGAUGUAACGGGGCUAAACCAUGCACCGAAGCUGCGGCAGCGACGCUUAUGCGUUGUUGGGUAGGGGAGCGUUCUGUAAGCCUGCGAAGGUGUGCUGUGAGGCAUGCUGGAGGUAUCAGAAGUGCGAAUGCUGACAUAAGUAACGAUAAAGCGGGUGAAAAGCCCGCUCGCCGGAAGACCAAGGGUUCCUGUCCAACGUUAAUCGGGGCAGGGUGAGUCGACCCCUAAGGCGAGGCCGAAAGGCGUAGUCGAUGGGAAACAGGUUAAUAUUCCUGUACUUGGUGUUACUGCGAAGGGGGGACGGAGAAGGCUAUGUUGGCCGGGCGACGGUUGUCCCGGUUUAAGCGUGUAGGCUGGUUUUCCAGGCAAAUCCGGAAAAUCAAGGCUGAGGCGUGAUGACGAGGCACUACGGUGCUGAAGCAACAAAUGCCCUGCUUCCAGGAAAAGCCUCUAAGCAUCAGGUAACAUCAAAUCGUACCCCAAACCGACACAGGUGGUCAGGUAGAGAAUACCAAGGCGCUUGAGAGAACUCGGGUGAAGGAACUAGGCAAAAUGGUGCCGUAACU
This 768-nucleotide ribosomal RNA is filed under the name Escherichia coli. RNAcentral describes it as "partial 23S ribosomal RNA". It matches the Rfam family "Bacterial large subunit ribosomal RNA", at positions 966 to 1735 of the family's 2925-position model. Lineage: Bacteria; Pseudomonadati; Pseudomonadota; Gammaproteobacteria; Enterobacterales; Enterobacteriaceae. The record is from RNAcentral.